RNAcentral lists this ribosomal RNA (423 nucleotides) under Pteraeolidia ianthina. RNAcentral's name for it is "partial 16S ribosomal RNA". It matches the Rfam family "Bacterial large subunit ribosomal RNA", at positions 1826 to 2604 of the family's 2925-position model. Lineage: Eukaryota; Metazoa; Mollusca; Gastropoda; Nudibranchia; Facelinidae. The record is from RNAcentral.
CAUAGCCUGUGGGUCAUAUAUCUCAGGUAAUUACUGCUCAAUGUCUCAAUGAAUAGCCGUGGUAUAUAUGACCAUGCUAAGGUAGCAUAAUAAUUUGUCUAAUAAUUCUAGACUGGAAUGAAUGUAAUCACACGGUUCUAAUGUCUCCCUCCUUAUUGGUUGAAUUUCCUUUAUAGGUGAAAAGGCCUAUAACGAAUAAUGGGACGAGAAGACCCUUAGAAUUUGUAAAAGAUUUCACUGGGGCGGUGAUGGCUUGAAUCAGCCAUAAUAAUACAAGACGGACGUCUCAUGUGUGAGUAAAUUACCUAAGGGAUAACAGCAUAAUAAUAUAAAUUUGAUUGUGACCUCGAUGUUGGACUAGGGAACUCCAGGGCCAGAAGCUCUGGAGGUAGGUUCUGUUCGAACUUCAGGGCCCUACGUGAU